Molecule: ribosomal RNA, 253 nt
Filed under: uncultured bacterium
Lineage: Bacteria
Description: partial 16S ribosomal RNA
Rfam family: Bacterial small subunit ribosomal RNA
Source: RNAcentral
UACGUAGGGUGCAAGCGUUAAUCGGAAUUACUGGGCGUAAAGCGUGCGCAGGCGGUUGUGCAAGACCGAUGUGAAAUCCCCGGGCUUAACCUGGGAAUGGCAUUGGUGACUGCACGGCUAGAGUGUGUCAGAGGGGGGUAGAAUUCCACGUGUAGCAGUGAAAUGCGUAGAGAUGUGGAGGAAUACCGAUGGCGAAGGCAGCCCCCUGGGAUAACACUGACGCCCAUGCACGAAAGCGUGGGGAGCAAACAGG